UGCAGUGGCAACACUGCGGAAGACCUAGUGGCGAACGGGUGAGUAACACGUGAGGAACUUGCCCCGGAGACCGGGAUAACCCUCCGAAAGGAGAGCUAAUACCGGAUGUCCUCACCGAGCCGCAUGGCUUGGUGAGGAAAUGGAUUCCGCUCCGGGAGAGCCUCGCGGCCUAUCAGCUAGUUGGUGGGGUAACGGCCCACCAAGGCGUCGACGGGUAGCUGGUCUGAGAGGACGAUCAGCCACACUGGGACUGAGACACGGCCCAGACUCCUACGGGAGGCAGCAGUGGGGAAUCUUGCGCAAUGGGCGAAAGCCUGACGCAGCAACGCCGCGUGCGGGAUGAAGGCCCUCGGGUUGUAAACCGCUUUCAGUGGGGACGAACCAAGACGGUACCCACAGAAGAAGGUCCGGCCAACUACGUGCCAGCAGCCGCGGUAACACGUAGGGACCAAGCGUUGUCCGGAUUCAUUGGGCGUAAAGAGCUCGUAGGCGGUUCGAUAAGUCGGGUGUGAAACCUCCAGGCUCAACCUGGAGACGCCACCCGAUACUGUCGUGACUAGAGUCCAGUAGGGGAGCGUGGAAUUCCUGGUGUAGCGGUGAAAUGCGCAGAUAUCAGGAGGAACACCAGCGGCGAAGGCGGCGCUCUGGGCUGGAACUGACGCUGAGGAGCGAAAGCGUGGGGAGCGAACAGGAUUAGAUACCCUGGUAGUCCACGCCGUAAACGUUGGG
Molecule: ribosomal RNA, 729 nt
Filed under: uncultured Actinomycetes bacterium
Lineage: Bacteria; Bacillati; Actinomycetota; Actinomycetes
Description: bacterial SSU rRNA
Rfam family: Bacterial small subunit ribosomal RNA
Source: RNAcentral